GUGCUCACUUCAGCAGCACAUAUGCUAAAAUUGGAACAAUCCAGAGAAGAUCAGCAUGGCCCCUGCACAAUGAUGACAGGCAAAUUCGUGAAGCAUUCCAUAUUUUU
This is a small nuclear RNA of Cavia porcellus (domestic guinea pig), 107 nucleotides long. The record is from Ensembl. NCBI's taxonomy places the organism in Eukaryota, Metazoa, Chordata, Mammalia, Rodentia, Caviidae.